AUCAAUUUAGUUUAAUUAAAAAUAUAGGUUUGUGGUACCUUAGAUGAUUUAAUUCAUUUGAUU
This 63-nucleotide transfer RNA is filed under the name Batracomorphus rinkihonis. Its description in RNAcentral is "tRNA-His". Lineage: Eukaryota; Metazoa; Arthropoda; Insecta; Hemiptera; Cicadellidae. The record is from RNAcentral.